CUGAUGGUGAAAGCAGAAAGUCACUCGAACAGAGAUUGACAUUCAUUUAUAGGAUCUUGUUGUACAGCUGUGGAUGGAUGAACUGACAGGAUGUGAGUUUUCCUACCUUGCUUCUUCAGUCUUGUCUUCAUCUUCAGCCUGUUCAAGCUCGUCCUCUUCAUCAUCGUCGUCUGCCUCAGUCUUUGCUGCCUCCUCCUGGACAGUGAGCACCGAUGCUGUGGCAGCUUCAAACACACAAGGUGAAAAACUCUUGAUGGGUCCAAAUGACUUGCAAGGUGGUCCAGAGAGCUGACUUCGGUCCCAGUGGAUGAGGCUGGGGAGACAGGCACAGACCAAGUUGAGGUGGUCAGUGUCUUUGCCCUUUGCCUGUUAGGGCUCGGAUUGUAGAUAGAGCAGCUUGUCCACCCCACCUCCACUGGCUCAGACAGAAUUAGAUCGACCACGGGGACUGACGGACGAUGGAAGGGAAAGAGGGAAGAGAGACUGAGAGUGAGAGCUUCAAGGCUGUUCAAUGUGGGCCCUCCUCCUCCUCCACAUCUCCACCUCAUCCAGAUGUUCAGAGCACCACAACCAGUCAGCUGCCAUCUUCCCAUCACCACCAACCUCUAGACACUUUGGGGUCCUGUAUUCGUCUCCUAUCCUAAUCCUCAAAACUAUGACCUUCUUGCAUGUUAAAAACAAAGGAUGAAGGGAAGAAGUACUUGGAACUCGAUGAAACCACAACAGUCCACAGUGAGGAGAAUGUUUGGAUUCUGCACCAGUCUGCUGCUUGGAGCUAUAACAUGGUGACGAUUGAAGGUGUGAUGCAUCACCACCAGAACUGCUGGUUUACCAGCUGUAAGCACAGACAGAACAUGAAGAAAUGAGUCAGGAACCAGAUGAAACACACAGGUUUGAUGACUCCACCUGCAGCUCAUGAUGCAGGGCUUUAAAUCCAUGUGUGGCUCUUUCCUCUAUGCUGUAUGUGUCUCUGUUCAGCUCCUGGUGAGUUUUCUGAAAUAUUUAUUUCCUGUGUUUUUACUUCUCACAUUACAUUUCUAAAUCAUUGCCUUUAUAGAACAGCAUCUUAUCUAAAUGAGACAGAAGUAAACACCAAAUGCAGGAUCAGUCACUUACAGAUACGUUUUAAUUACUGUGGUAUUUACUUUCUCUUAAUCAUUUGGAGGCAUGAAUCAGUUCACUAUAAUGGCAGAGGCACUGGAGAAGCUCAUCUAAAUAACUUCAUUUCAAACUCAUUUUCACCAGGUUGUGGGCUCUGUGCCUGGAGGUCACUAAUCAGUGUGAAAUUUGCCAAACACUGACCAAAGGAACUCCUUACCAGGAAUGUGGUCCAGAGCCUCGCUGAUGUCUGUUCCAACUCGUGAAGCAACAGGACAGAAAACCAGAAGGUGGUGGGCUCUGUGCCUGGAGGUGACUAAUCAGUGAGAAAUUUGCCAUUCAGUGACCAAAGGAACUCCUUACCAGGAAUGUGGUCCAGAGCCUCGCUGAUGUCUGUUCCAACUCGUGUAGCAACAGGACAGAAAACCAGAAGGCUGUUGAACGUGGACCCUCCUCCUCCUCCUCCACAUCUCCACCUCAUCCAGACGUUCAGAGCACCACAACCAGACACCUGCCAUCAUGUCUUCACCACCAACUUCUAGACUCUUUAGGGAGGUGGGCUCUGUUUCACACUAAUCAGUGUGAAAUUUGCCAAACACUGACCAAAGGAACUCCUUACCAGGAAUGUGGUCCAGAGCCUCGCUGAUGUCUGUUCCAACUCGAGAAGCAACAGGACAGAAAACCAGAAGUCCUCAAAAUGGCUGUCCACCAACGUUCACCAUCCAACCUGACAGAACUGGAGAGGAUCUGCAAGAAGAAUGGCAGAGGAUCCCCAAAUCCAAGUGUGAAAAACUUGUUGCGUCAUUCCCAAGAAGACUCAUGGCUGUACGAGCUGAAAAGGGUGCUUCUACUCAAUACUGAGCAAAGGGUCUGAAUACUUAUGACCAUGUGAUAUUUCAGUUUUUCUUUUUUAAUAAAUUUGCAAAAAAUUCUA
Acanthochromis polyacanthus (spiny chromis) is the source of this 2032-nucleotide long non-coding RNA. RefSeq lists it as uncharacterized. The transcript has 9 exons. The record is from RefSeq and is a predicted model, not a curated record. NCBI's taxonomy places the organism in Eukaryota, Metazoa, Chordata, Actinopteri, Pomacentridae.